This 406-nucleotide ribosomal RNA is filed under the name uncultured bacterium. Its description in RNAcentral is "partial 16S ribosomal RNA". It matches the Rfam family "Bacterial small subunit ribosomal RNA", at positions 30 to 526 of the family's 1533-position model. The record is from RNAcentral.
AUUGAACGCUGGCGGCAGGCCUAACACAUGCAAGUCGAACGAGUUGCGGACGGGUGAGUAAUGUCUGGGAAACUGCCCGAUGGAGGGGGAUAACUACUGGAAACGGUAGCUAAUACCGCAUACCAUCCGAUGAGCCCAGAUGGGAUUAGCUAGUUGGUGGGGUAACGGCUCACCAAGGCGACGAUCCCUAGCUGGUCUGAGAGGAUGACAAGCCACACUGGAACUGAGCCACGGUCCAGACUCCUACGGUAGGCAGCAGGGGGGAAUAUGGCACAAUGGGCGCAAGCCUGAUGCAGCCAUGCCGCGUGUAUGAAGAAGGCCUUCGGGUUGUAAAGUACUUUCAGCGGGGAGGCGUUACCCGCAGAAGAAGCACCGGCUAACUCCGUGCCAGCCGCCGCGGUAAUUC